RNAcentral lists this ribosomal RNA (276 nucleotides) under Triticum aestivum (bread wheat). RNAcentral describes it as "partial small subunit ribosomal RNA". The record is from RNAcentral. Lineage: Eukaryota; Viridiplantae; Streptophyta; Magnoliopsida; Poales; Poaceae.
AUGUGCAUUCCCAAGGAUAGAGGGGGUAUGGGCUUUCGCGAUAUUCAUAGCUCUAAUUUGGCACUCCUAGCUAAACAGGUUUGGAGGCUUAUUGAGCACCACGAUUCCUUGUGUGCAAGGGUGCUCCGUUCAAAAUACUACCCAAUGGGGGAAUUGCUAAAUUAUGAUCUCAAGAAGGGGGCCUCUUUCGUUUGGCAAAGCAUAUGGGCAGGGGCCCAAACUUUCAAGAAAGGGUGUAUAUGGAGGGUUGGUAACGGCUUGAAGUUGAAUAUUUAG